This 562-nucleotide long non-coding RNA is filed under the name Lathyrus oleraceus (garden pea). Its description in RNAcentral is "Pisum sativum (pea) long non-coding RNA (PSAT_LNC007309)". The record is from RNAcentral. Lineage: Eukaryota; Viridiplantae; Streptophyta; Magnoliopsida; Fabales; Fabaceae.
ACCUGGAUUUUUUUAGACGUGUUCUUAUAUAUCUCCUGAUCUCUUCGCAGAUGAAUUUUUAUCCUCAAAAGAAAACCUGUCUGUUAUGCCUUUCCAUUCCCGGUUAUUGUGGAUUCCAUUUUUGUAAAUGUGUUACUGUUUUAAGUUGUUUUCGAAGUGCUUUUUUGAGUGUUCUUGACUUCUGGAUAAAAUGUUAAACUGAUUAACUCAUUAAUUACUUUUCAGUUCUUUAAGUGCUUAUGAAAAGAGCUUUUUAAUUAAGCUAUUUUUAUCCCUGCAGGUUACAAAUUGAAGUGAUUUGAUGGGAAAUGGUUGCGUGAAGCUUCACAGAAACAAGUUUGAGGCGUAUCAGCUCCAAGGAAGGUCCAAUGGUCCCUGGCUUUGUCUCUUGGGGCAGUGGUUCUUGUCAAUUGCAACAGCUUUUAUUAAAUUAGGAUGUAAUCAAUUAAGUAUUUAGGUUAAGUGUAUAUUUGGACUAUUUGUAACCUAUUGUACUCAGAAUCCGUUUAUGUAAUUACUUUUUAGCAUUCAAACCUUAUUUCCAUAUUUUAAUUAUGCUUAU